Molecule: non-coding RNA, 27 nt
Filed under: Mus musculus (house mouse)
Lineage: Eukaryota; Metazoa; Chordata; Mammalia; Rodentia; Muridae
Source: RNAcentral
CACGUGCAAGAAGUAUCAUGUGACAUG